Molecule: unclassified non-coding RNA, 373 nt
Filed under: soil metagenome
Description: partial contains 5.8S ribosomal RNA, internal transcribed spacer 2, and large subunit ribosomal RNA
Rfam family: 5.8S ribosomal RNA (bases 1-121)
Source: RNAcentral
GAUGAAGAACGCAGCGAAAUGCGAUAAGUAAUGCGAAUUGCAGAAUUCCAGUGAGUCAUCGAAUCUUUGAACGCACAUUGCGCCCUUUGGUAUUCCGAAGGGCAUGCCUGUUCGAGCGUCAUUAUCACCCCUCAAGCCCUCGGCUUGGUGUUGGAAGGUUUGGUGGAGGCCCCCUCGGGGGCUCCUGCCCCUCCCAAAGACAAUGACGGCGGCCUCGUUGGACCCCCGGUACACUGAGUUCUUCACGGGACACGUAUCGGACACAUGGGUUUACGGGACACGGUCUGCCUCCCCUCAGGGAGAAUCUUUCUAAGGUUGACCUCGGAUCAGGUAGGGAUACCCGCUGAACUUAAGCAUAUCAAUAAGCGGAGGA